This 768-nucleotide ribosomal RNA is filed under the name uncultured bacterium. Its description in RNAcentral is "bacterial SSU rRNA". It matches the Rfam family "Bacterial small subunit ribosomal RNA", at positions 84 to 848 of the family's 1533-position model. The record is from RNAcentral.
CCGAAAGACGAGUGGCGAACGGGUGCGUAACGCGUAUGCAAUCUGCCUUUUACUAGGGUAUAGCCCAGAGAAAUUUGGAUUAAUCCCCUAUAAUAUCAUUUAAUCGCAUGAUUUUAUGAUUAAAGCUUCGGCGGUAAAAGAUGAGCAUGCGUCCUAUUAGUUAGUAGGUGAGGUAACGGCUCACCUAGACUCCGAUGGGUAGGGGUCCUGAGAGGGAGAUCCCCCACACUGGUACUGAGACACGGACCAGACUCCUACGGGAGGCAGCAGUGAGGAAUAUUGGACAAUGGACGAAAGUCUGAUCCAGCUAUGCCGCGUGCAGGAUGACGGCCCUAUGGGUUGUAAACUGCUUUUAUACAGGAAGAAAAACUCCGACGUGUCGGAACUUGACGGUACUGUAAGAAUAAGGAUCGGCUAACUCCGUGCCAGCAGCCGCGGUAAUGCGGAGGAUCCAAGCGUUAUCCGGAAUCAUUGGGUUUAAAGGGUCCGUAGGCGGUUUUUUAAGUCAGAGGUGAAAUCCUGCAGCUCAACUGUAGAAUUGCCUUUGAUACUGAAAGACUUGAGUUAUUGUGAAGUGGUUAGAAUGUGUGGUGUAGCGGUGAAAUGCAUAGAUAUCACACAGAAUACCAAUUGCGAAGGCAGAUCACUAACAAAAUACUGACGCUCAGGGACGAAAGCGUGGGUAGCGAACAGGAUUAGAUACCCUGGUAGUCCACGCCGUAAACGAUGGAUACUAGCUGUAUGUCUACUUCAGGUAGAUGUGUGGCU